This 440-nucleotide ribosomal RNA is filed under the name uncultured bacterium. RNAcentral describes it as "partial 16S ribosomal RNA". It matches the Rfam family "Bacterial small subunit ribosomal RNA", at positions 338 to 795 of the family's 1533-position model. The record is from RNAcentral.
CCUACGUGGUGCAGCAGUGGGGGAUAUUGCACAAUGGGGGGAACCCUGAUGCAGCGACGCCGCGUGGGGGAAGGAGCGUUUCGGCGCGUAAAGCCCUAUCGGCAGGGAAGAAGAUGACGGUACCUGACCAAGAAGCCCCGGCUAACUACGUGCCAGCAGCCGCGGUAAUACGUAGGGGGCAAGCGUUAUCCGGAUUUACUGGGGGUAAAGGGGGCGCAGACGGCAAUGCAAACAAGGAGUGAAAGCCCGGGGCCCAACCCCGGGACUGCUCUUGGAACGUCAUGCCUGGAGUACAGGAGGGGCAGGCGGAAUUCGCGGUGUAGCGGUUAAAUGCUUAGAUAUCGCGCAGAACCCCGAUUGCGAAGGCAGCGUACCGUCUCCACACUGACGCUGAGGCACGAAAGCGUGGGUAUCGGACAGGAUUAGAUACCCUUGUAGUC